RNAcentral lists this ribosomal RNA (301 nucleotides) under uncultured bacterium. Its description in RNAcentral is "partial 16S ribosomal RNA". It matches the Rfam family "Bacterial small subunit ribosomal RNA", at positions 509 to 807 of the family's 1533-position model. The record is from RNAcentral.
CAGCAGCCGCGGGAAAACGGAGGGUGCAAGCGUUGUCCGGAUUUAUUGGGUUUAAAGGGUGCGUAGGCGGCUAUUUAAGUCAGCGGUGAAAGACUCCGGCUCAACCGGAGCAGUGCCAUUGAUACUGGAUAGCUUGAGUGUUGGAGGGGUACAUGGAAAUGAUGGUGUAGCGGUGAAAUGCAUAGAUACCAUCAGGAACACCGAUAGCGAAGGCAUUGUACUGGCCAACAACUGACGCUGAGGCACGAAAGCAUGGGGAGCGAACAGGAUUAGAUACCCCAGUAGUCCCUGUCUCUUAUAC